UAUAAUGGUUUGACUCUUCGUCUUAUUUGAAAUUUUUUUGCGAUUAAUAUUUGUAUUGUUACUAGAUGAUAAAAUAUGAACAAUACUCUAUGCGUGACUAAUUUUUUAAAGUUUUUUAUAAUUUUUCAAAUAAAACGAAUGGUUAAACGUUAGACAUAGAAAAACA
Molecule: microRNA precursor, 166 nt
Filed under: Oryza brachyantha (malo sina)
Lineage: Eukaryota; Viridiplantae; Streptophyta; Magnoliopsida; Poales; Poaceae
Description: MIR812 microRNA precursor family
Rfam family: MIR812 microRNA precursor family
Source: Rfam by way of RNAcentral